CGUUGAGUAAAUAAGGUAAAUGGGAAUAUUUACAUCGGUAGUUCUACUAAUUUACAUGUUAGAAUGUAUACAUAUUUUAGUUUACGUUCUCUAGCAAAAAGUAAUAGACCUAUUGAUAGAGCUCUUUUAAAACACGGGCAAGAAAAAAAAAAAGUAAAAAAAUUCGAUUUUUUUAUUUUUUUUUUCUUCCUAACUUUAGAUUAGAAAUCUUGGAAUACUGUUCCUAUGAAGAUGUACUUAAAAGAGAGCAAUAUUACUUAGAUCUUUAUAAACCUCAUUACAAUAUAGCUACAGUCGCAGGGUCUACUUUAGGAUAUAAACAUUCUCAAGAAUCAUUAGAAAAAAUGAGAAACAUUAUUCUAAGUGAUGAAGUAAGAGAAAGAAAAAUUCUUUCUACUGUUAAUGCUUCAAUAGCUAAUAGAUUGCCUAUUAGUGUUAAAAAUAUCAUAACUAAUGAUGUGACAAAUUAUGCUAGCAUGACUGAGGCUGGUAAAGCACUAGGUGUGACAAGAGCUACAGUAAGUCAAGCAUUGUUGCAUAAUAGACUAAUUAAAAAAACGUAUUCUAUCUGUAAAAUUAAAUAAAAACUUCAAAAAAAAUAAAAUUAUAUUAUCUGUUAAAUGGAUAGUAGUAAAAUACUAUUUAGGGAGAAAAGUCUCAGCUCGGCCUAACUUGAAAUAAAUAAAAUUUAACGGCCAAAGAGAUAAUUUGUAUCGUUGUAAAGAUAUCCAAAGAACUGUGGUAAGUUAGUGAAAGACAAUCCUGACUACUAUAGCUGGUUUUCCGCGAAACAUAUGUAAGUAUGUAGUUUAAAUAACAUCAUAGCAGGUACAGAACUGUGAUCUCGGACAAUUUGUGCAUUAAUAUCCUAUUAGGGUAUAUAAUGCCUUGUGCAUAUGGGGGGGUCGUGAAGACUCUAUUCGCGAGUAUUUGCUCUCGGAAGGGCAAUGAUGAGUGUUGAACUAUCAGACAUUUAACGAUAAGGUUGUGUGUCAAAAGGGAAACAGCCCAGAACAAGUGUUUAAGGUUCCAAAGUUUUUGUUAAGUGAAAGUAAGGAAGUAUUUAAACUAUACAACCAGGAAAUAGGCUUAGAAGCGGCCAUUUUUUAAAGACCUCGUAACAGAGCACUGGUUCAAAUGGUUAAUUCGUUAACCUAAUUAGUUAAAAGCGCCGAAGAUAUAACGGAUCUAAAACAAAACACCGACACCUUGUCCAUAAUAAUUAUAUUAGGUAUAAUCCUAGUUUACUAUACUUAAAGGUUAUUUAAGUAUUAUUUAUGGGGUAGCGGAACAUUGGGUAAAUAGGUUUUAAAUAGAUAGUACUCCCUCUCAGAAUUAGGGGUUGGUCUUUUAUUAAUUUAUAAUAACUGACUAUAUAGUUACGUCUAUUUCAUAAUUACAUUUGUAAUUUGCUCGCUAUAUAGCGGGUUACCAUACAUAUCCCAAGUGAGAAUGCUGACACGAGUAACGAAAAAGAGAACUUAGUAUAACACUACUUUGUAAAACGUUCUCUCGCCUUAAGCUUAUGGGAAAGUUAAUCGGUCUCUAAAUUAAACCUAAAGGAUAAAAUGAUGAGGAGAUUAUAUGUGACAACAUAAAGAAAUUGAGUAAAAUGUUCUGGAAAAGCAUAUAAUAUACAAGAAAGGAGAAAUUGUUCUAGGUUAUAAACUAAAAAGAAGAUACUAGUUUCCUUGUAUAUAGUAAAACCGUACCUAAAAACUACCACAAGUAAGCUAGUAGAGAAUACGAAGGCGUUUGAGCUAACAAUCAUUAAGGAACUCGGCAAAUUGACACCGUAACUGAGGGAGAAGGUGUGCCAUUCCUACUGAUUAAUAUCAGUUUAGGAAGAGGAGACAUAAAAUGGUGUUGCACGACUGUUUAAUUAAAACACAGCACUUUGCGUAAGAUGUAAAUCAAUGUAUAGAGUGCGCUAUCUGCCCAAUGAUGGCUGGUUAACGGAUUUACUUAGACGACUAAAAUAGGCUAGGUUUUGAAGGAACCCCCAUUUAAUGGCGGCCUUACCUAUGAGGGUCCUAAGGUAGCGAAAUACCUUGGCAUUUAAAUGAUGUCGCGCAUGAAUGAUCUCACGAUGCAACAGCUGUCUCAAUGAUUGGCUCAGUGAAACUGGAAUGGCAGUGAAGAUACUGCCUAUCUCUAGAUAGACGAGAAGACCCCAUGCAGCUUUACUGUUACUAGUUAUAGGGUAUAAUUUAACAGGUUUUAGGGAAUAAGGUAGUUGAGCGACAAAAUUGAAACACCUUUACUCUGGUUGUUAUAUCAGUAGAAUAGGUUACAUUAUUGUAACUGACGUCUGAAUGUAAUCCAUAAAAGGAGGGAGAUUAUAUCAAGCUCAGGAGACAAUGGCUAGCAGAUGGUUUAUGCGGGGCACAGAUCCCAUAAAGAGUACCUGGGAGUAUCCAAAUUUAUUUUUGUAAUAUGCUAUACGCAAAUUAUAUAGGGCUUUUAUUAAAUAAUUGCCUUGUAUAUUUUAAUUUUUUAAUUACUAUAUUUACUUUGUUAUUUUUUAUAUUUACUUUUAUAAAGUAUCUAUAACUAAUUCAGUUAUAUUUCUAUUUAAGUUAGAACUAAAACAAUUUAAUAUAAGUAAGAUUUUACCUAUGUGGAAAAUAGGUGUAUAUAUAGUAUUAAUAAUUACUAUCUAAUUGUAAAAGAAGAUAUAAUUAUAACACUAUUAGUUAUUUUUUUUACAGAAUAUCUGUAUAAGAAAUGAUGUUGAUAUAUACUUCCAAAGUUUAAUGGCUUAAUCUUGCUUUACUGUUUGACAUACACGUCUAUCAGUUGCGUAAGCAGGGCAUAAAGACCGCAAGACGCAGUAAGGAAAGGUCUUGUAUUAUUGAAAAAGCUACGCUGGGGAUAACAGGCUAAUUGCGCCAGAGAGUACAAAUU
RNAcentral lists this ribosomal RNA (2907 nucleotides) under Alternaria brassicicola. RNAcentral's name for it is "bacterial LSU rRNA". The stretch from base 607 to 2907 matches the Rfam family "Bacterial large subunit ribosomal RNA", at positions 1 to 2506 of the family's 2925-position model. The record is from RNAcentral. Lineage: Eukaryota; Fungi; Ascomycota; Dothideomycetes; Pleosporales; Pleosporaceae.